AUAGAUUUCGAGGAUAUGUACCAGACUACUUGGGUUCAACAAAAAAAUUUGGUAAAACGCAUACUUUUAAUCGAAAUGGAAAACGAUCCUAAUAGGACAAAUGGGCGCAUUGGGCGAGAAAUUGAAGAAGAACCUUCAUUAGAAACGAAAAGAAAUGUUGUGGCAAACGAAGUCACAUCCCUUUCCCCUACCAAUAAUCAAACAUAUUUUGCAAAUGAGAGGAUCAAGAUUCCAGAGAGAGAACCCGGAGGUUUUAGUUUUAGGACACUAUGGGCUUUCACGGGUCCUGGUUUUUUAAUGUCCAUUGCAUAUCUAGACCCGGGAAAUAUUGAGUCAGAUUUGCAGUCUGGAAGAGUCGCUGAAUACAAGUUACUAUGGGUAUUACUUAGUGCGACUAUCUUGGGCCUCGUCAUGCAGAGGUUGAGUGCCCGACUUGGAGUAGUUACUGGAUUGCACUUGGCCGAAAUGUGCUAUAGGCAGUAUAAAAAAGUGCCUAGACUAAUUUUGUGGAUAAUGAUUGAAAUCGCUAUAAUCGGAAGCGAUAUGCAGGAGGUUAUAGGGACGGCGAUUGCUAUUUAUCUGCUAUCAAAUAAGGCAGUACCAUUAUAUAUUGGAGUGCUCAUCACAAUUAUUGAUACCUUCACAUUUUUAUUUUUGGACAAAUAUGGUUUACGAAAACUGGAAUUGUUCUUUGGUUUGCUCAUAACAAUAAUGGCCGUUACAUUUGGUUAUGAGUAUAUUGUGACAGCACCUCCGCAAUUAGAAGUUGUCAAGGGAAUGUUUAUUCCUUCAUUUGAAGGGUAUAGCGGUGAAGUACUGCUGAAAGCAGUGGGUGUCAUCGGAGCAGUUAUAAUGCCUCACAAUUUGUACCUCCAUAGUGCACUUGUUAAAUCUCGCGAUAUCGAUCGAGGACGUCCAGAAAAAGUCAGGGAAGCAAACUUCUAUUACUUUGUAGAAGCCGCGUUUGCACUCUUUGUUUCAUUUAUAAUCAAUGUCUUUGUCGUCGGAGUAUUUGCGUAUGGAUUGUACAAUAAAAGCGGCGAGGAGAUAUACAAAAUCUGUGAAACUAACAAUUUUCCUCUUGGGAUGGAAACUUUUAAAAAUAAUAGUGUAGAUUUGAAUGAUUCGAAUUUGUAUAAUGGUGGAGUAUAUCUUGGCUGCCAAUUUGGAAUGGCAGCGAUGCUCAUUUGGGCGGUUGGAAUAUUAGCUGCUGGCCAGUCGUCGACAAUGACGGGAACUUAUGCAGGUCAGUUUGCAAUGGAAGGCUUUUUGAAUCUUCAGUGGGCAAGGUGGAAGCGAGUUUUCUUCACCAGAUCAAUCGCAAUUAUUCCAACGUUUUUACUCGCAUUCUAUGCUGAUAUCGAUCAACUCACUGGGAUGAAUGAUUUUCUCAACGCUGUCAUGAGUCUGCAAUUGCCUUUUGCCACUUUACCUACGAUUGCUUUUACGAGCAGUGUUCAUAUCAUGGGAGAAUUCAAGAAUGGAUUAGGGAACAAAAUAGUGUCAACCCUAUUGUCAGUCACAGUAAUAACGAUAAACAUUUACUUUGUGGUAGACUCAGUACACAGACAUCUGCCACCUCAUUGGGCAAUUAUACUUGGAUUUUCAAUUUAUGCAUUCUGUUACCUGACCCUUUGUGUCUAUCUAAUUAUACAUAUGGCUGUGAACAUGGGAGCAACUUCCCUCGGCAAUCACUGGUUCGUCGCCAAAUACGUUGGUGGUCCAGUGGAUAACACUUUCGGCCUAUCUAAUCCUGCCGUUUAUUCGAGCUUUGUCAACACUUCGGAAGUAUCCCUGGACGCCUAAACAUAUAUCCAGUUCUAAAAGAAAGUGCCCAAAGAAAUUAGUAUACAUGAAUUAUAUUCUAGAACCAUUACCAUUAUGAAUAAGACAUAAAUUCGCGACUUUUGUGACGUCUGCCUGAUGUGCCAUAUGGUACAUGCUGCUGUGACUGCUACUGCCAAGUAUGGGACUUCGUAAGAGGUGAAGAUUGGGCAGGAUAGUUUAAAUGGCGAUUUCGAGCAUAUAAAACUUGUGUCACUAACUCUACAGAAGCACUGCUUGGAGAUGAAUUACUAACUCUACAAAUAUAUAUGAUCAACGGGAAUUUUAUAAAAAAGGUCAAAAAGCUCUAAUGAAGAGUGAUAAAUGAGAAAAGAAAAAUUAUGUAAUUGUAUUUCAGAACAAACCCAGCCUUUUCAGCUGAUGAGGCAAUGGAUAGUAACAAUAUCUUUUCUAUCAAUCGAGCCGAUACUGUCUUAUACUAACCAAUGAGCAAAAAGGAUUGUAUUUUUAGGAUUUUUUACAUGUAAAAUAGAUUUCGAAUAGACGCUGAGUCUUGAUUGUAUAUUCUAGGAAAUCUUAUACGCAAACUGAUGUAUAUGUGAUAAUAAAU
Belonocnema kinseyi is the source of this 2395-nucleotide RNA transcript. It is a transcript of the gene named protein Malvolio, with no coding region annotated. The record is from RefSeq and is a predicted model, not a curated record. Lineage: Eukaryota; Metazoa; Arthropoda; Insecta; Hymenoptera; Cynipidae. The transcript is spliced from 14 exons.